This 433-nucleotide ribosomal RNA is filed under the name uncultured bacterium. RNAcentral describes it as "partial 16S ribosomal RNA". It matches the Rfam family "Bacterial small subunit ribosomal RNA", at positions 36 to 507 of the family's 1533-position model. The record is from RNAcentral.
UCCUCCCUCUUUCUUCCUGCCUAACACAUGCAAGUCGAACGGGAAGUUCUGGUUUUGUGGCGGACCGGGGGGUUACGACGGGGGACCAGCCCGUAGGUACGGAAUCAAUCACUGGAAGGGGUGCUAAUAACGCAGAAGGUCUUAGCGCCAAAGAGUGAUUGCCUCUGGAUGGGCGCGCGUUUGUUUCGCGUGUUGGUAGGGUAACAGCCGAUCAUGGCGCGGUUCCCUAGCUGGUGUGAGAGGAUGUUCAGCCACACUGGGGCUGAGACACGGCCCAGACUCCUACGGGAGGCAGCAGUGGAGAAUAUUGGACAAGGGGCGAAGGCCUGAUCCCGCAAUGCCGCGUGAGUGAUGAAGGCCUUAGUGUUGUAAAGCUCUUUUACCCGGGAUGAUAAUGACGGUACCGGGUGAAUAAGCACCGGCUAACUCCGUG